ACCAUUUCUUCCUUUCUUAAUACCAAGAUACCGCCUUCACAAUCUCAUUUCCUUCUCUGCACAACUCCACCGAAACCACUGCAAUCCCUCUCCACAACCGCACCUCACCUCUUCCUUUACCUUAGACCGAGAGCAAGAGAGAGUGAGAGCUGUAGUCUCGGUUCCAUUGACAAGAGUGAGCAGGAGGGAGCCGAGCUUCUUGUUUCUUUUCUUUCUGUCCAUAAACCAGAGAGGGAAGAGAGGGACUUGUGAUUCGGUCUGUCUUCCAUCCGUGAGCUGGUGCAGAGCUUGAGACCAGAGUUCCUUCAUCCAGCCGCAAGCCAGAGCAAGGGAGAGAGGAAGAGAGAGCUAGCGGUCUGCAUUUUUUUUCUGGACAGCUGAGAGUGAGAAUUGUUGCAGCUGCUAGUUGUGUGUUUUAGGCUUCAAGCUAAGGUAAAUUCUGGACUUAGAUGAAUUGUUUACGGGUUGAUGAAGCUGUCUAUACGCAUGCAUGUGGGUUUGUGAGGUUAGAUGAGGAUUUGAGACUUAAGAAAUCUGAUUUGGAAAAGAAUUAAAGCUGUCGAAAGUUUGAAGCUGGAAUUGCAGCUUGUUUCUGGAAAUUUGCUGGAAAAUGGUUGACUUUCACUUGGUUAGGUGCUUGACUAAUUAAAAUCAGAAGAUUAAGCUUUGCAUGAAAUUAUCAGACCGGCUAAGCAAGAGAAAUAAAAUAAAAAUGAAACAGAAUCUGCUACAUGCAAGCUCAUCCGAGAGUAGUUGCACAAAUUUCUGGAGUUAUGGAUGAAUUUUGUUGUUGUCGAACUGAUUUCUGGUCUGGAUAUGAUAGCUAAUUAAUUCAGCAGUUGUGCAUGUGAGAUUUAAGUGCCAAAUACAAGGUUUUAACCGAAGGAAAAUUUUGUUUAUGACUGAGUCAAUGCUGGAAAAUUUACGUGACUUGCCAAGGGAGUGAAACCAGAAUUUGCAGUUGUUUCUGGAAUUUUUUUUUUUCAUUAGCAAACAAUGUUUAGAAAUGCAUGAAAUAUAUGUGUCUUAAGUCUUGUAAGAUAUUCAGUUGUAAAGUACUUGAUCCGUUGGAUAAAUUGACCAAAAAAGUUGAAACAUAGCUGCUGCAAUUUUUUCCAGCUUAGCCGAUGGUGGCUCUUUUGAGUUUUAAUGGAAACUUGGUGAGUGGGCUCUAUGAAUUCCCACAAUGACUUGGAUGAUCUGAUUAGCUAGUCAAGUAUUUGCUUGUCGGAUUUGAGUACUUAAUAUCAUGUAUUAGCCGAGUAAAAAGUUGGAUUUAUGACCAAUUAGCUGCUGGAAAUUCUGUUUAGCCGAUGACAGAUUUAUUGUGGUGGGAUUAUUUGCCAAAAUUACAUGUUAUUUGUUUUAUUUCAUAUCGAAAAAUUUUGAUGGUGGGCUCUAUGAACUUCCACCCUUGGAUUAACGAUUGAUGAUGGAUAUAAUGCUAGUUUAGUGCUUAAAUGGGUAGAUUAAUGAUACCUAGCUAGUCUCGACUUCAAGGGAUGUGUAGUUAAAAAAUGUUCAGGUUUGCCCUGUUUCAAUCGCACCCCUUUUUGCAGAAUUUUGAGGGUUUCAUGACUUAUAUAUCAUGUUUAUAUGUUGAAUAUAUGGUGUAUAAAGUUUCAUUUAAAAAUAUUGGGGUUUGGUUGGUCAAUGGGAUCAAUUUCGUGAAGUCAGUAAAUCUGGAAAACUGUUUUCGUAAUACUCUGACCAGCUUCCGUAUUUCGGCCAUAAUUUUGAGCUCCGAUGUCGAAAUCGAGUGCCACCAGCGGCAUUUGAAACUAGACAUUCCAACCUUUCCGACGGUAUAAUAUGCACGUUCUGGUUCCAUGUACGUGAGCCAAACCAACCAUUUUAAGUCGGCUAUUCUGUUUCUCUGUUUUACAAGAACAAAAUGCUGAGGCUGCAACUUGUGACUCGAAUUCCAGCUAGUUGUACGCCAAAUUUCAAAAUGAUUUCUUCUGUGAAAUUAUAGCUUUAUGAAUUUAUUUUCCAAUGCCUUAAACUAUGCCCAAUUCCGAGUUAAUUUGAGUGAUUGGUGAUCAAAAUACGGAACCUGCCCUGCUCUUGAAAACCCUGAUUUUUAGAAUGAUUUGAUGCAAGGCUCGGUUUAGACUUGAUAAUUAAUUUCUUGGUGUUAAACACCCACCAAAUGUACCAUGAACGUUCUUUAAAUUUUGCCUAAACAAAUGAACCAGGUUUGGAGGAAUUUUUCUUUGACCAAAUGCCUGAAAUGGAAAAACAAAAGGUUCAAGGCAGUUUUGUCUUAGUAUUUGCGAAAUUUUAGGUGUUUGAUUGACCACCUUUCCGAAGUUAUUUUUCCAUGAAAUUUGGUAGAGGAACAACCCUUAUAUGGUAGUAUUAUACUGCUAAUUAUGGUGUUAUUCUGAGGCCGUUUCAUGGGUCAAAUAAAUUACCAAAGUUCAUGACUCGAGUUUGAAAAACCCAUGUUUCACAAGGGAAUUUUAGUAACUUUGAGCUACCGUAUCUUGGUGCUCAAAACCCCGUUUCUUGUUCCGUUUGUUUUGUUAUACUCUUGGAUUACAACACUAAUAGAGUUGAAAAUUUCAAAAGCUAGUUCCAAACAAGUGAAUUUUGCCGAAAUUCCAAAGUUGGCCAAAAACCAACUUAAAUCUGCCUUAUGAACCAAAACAGUAACUUUGAGCCCAUUUUUUGACUAUCUUCCAUUUAGAAUCAUGGAAAAGUGUAUUCUAAGAACUUUUAGUACUUUCAAAGAGGUUUCCAAUAGUACCAAGUUUUCCAAUUUUGGGCUUGUAGAGAGUAAGAUAUGAUUUUUCAAAAAUUACUUGUUAAAUCUGGAAUUUUCUAACUUAAAGGAAACUAAGGGGUUUCGAACUCUUCAUUUCUUUCAAUAUCAUUUGAUUGUUUUACAUUUGAAUCCAGAGAUGGAAAUCAGAUUUGUCUUGUGUUCUAAAACUCCACUUUUGAAUCUCGAGUUACACGAAUUCUUAGACUCAUCUCCGCGUUAAUUUCUUAGAUUGCACUAGCGUACAAUCUUCAUCGAAAACUAGAGAAUUCGUAGCGAUAUUGAGUGGUACUUGAAUUAUUGUUUGCUCAGGCAAUCGAGGAGAUCUCCAAGAGGAACUCGGAGCGGACGCCUUAAACGCUUGUUUGAGACCUAUUGCCCUUGUUGCUAGGUGAGUGUUCCAUAUAGGAAUACAUAAUUGAGUAAGUUUAGGACAUGCUCAUUUCAUGAUUGUUAAGUAUUUACCAUACUCGUGCCUAUUUAAGAAAUAUAUACUUGCAUUGCAUAUCGACAUGAAUUGGUUAAAUGAUUAACCCUAUCAAAUGACCGUGUAAACUCAAUACAUGCUUAGCCUGCUUGUUUUAUGCUUAUUUGGUUAAAGUGCUUUCGUGACUCGUUAUGUGACAAUUUGGAAAAUGAUUUCCGAUCCAUCGCAGUGAGCAGGGUGUACUUUAUCAGACUAGCCAUUCGAGUGGUGACUUGCGUGAAACAUUUUCUCGUGAAUCUAAAUGUAGUUGCGUCGUUGGGUGAAUCCCUCGACUCGUGAAUCCAAUGUUUUCGUGAACGUCUUACAAGUGUUGGACGUAACGUCGUUGGAGUGAAUCUCCUCGACUCUCACAUGGUAAAAAUGGGAUAACGGCCAAUGAUGGCCUAUUAAUAUGGCAAAUGCCUGCCAAAUAACCGUCAUUACUCAACCGUUAACCGCCAACCGUUAACCGUUAACCGUGAACCGUGUACCAACCCACAUGACUACUUGAUUACUUGAUUAUCAUGAAUCACAUGUUAUAUGAAGUUGUCCAUCAUUGUUAGGCGAGUGUGUACUUUACCUCACUCGACCUAUUCAAAUGAUGAAUUUUACUUUUUGUCGUAUUACUUGAUUACCUGUGCAUGUUGUAAGCUAUAAGCUGAACUUGGGCCCUGCCUCGGUUACUGACCUACUCGAGUCAGGACUGGGCUCGGUCGGGUAGGUUGGAACCCUGGACAACCGUUUCGGUAUACUCGAGUACUACCACUGGAGGGAUAAGGUGAUGGCCAGCCAACCGAAGGAGUUACCGAUCGAAGUUAUAAGGACGGGAAGUGGACCGAGUACUGUAUCCUUUUGUGCUUGCUUUGCUAUUAAUAAUGUUAUUGCUCUCCUAGUUGACAUUUCUCGGGUAAGACUCCUCAUGAGCAUUAAUCUCUGAGAUGAAGCAAUCCUUGUAAUGUUCUUCUAGUCAGACGAGGCCCUAUUUGUUUGACUAAAAAUUCAUGAAAAUAUAUUUACAUGGUCAUUCAUUCCAAAAAUACGUUAGUGAUUUUAGAUAAUUUAUGAGUUGUACUCAUAGUAAGGUUACCAGCAAAAGUACUACUUCUAUAUGUGUUUUCAAAGUAGCAAUUACCCGAGUAAUGAUUAUCACCUCAUGAUAACAUGCCAUUGUGUAAUCUCAAACCAUGCAUAUGACAUGCACAACUUUCUUGAUUUGUUUGAACUGUUAGAGUGUCUUGGAACCUCACUGGACUGUGUAGCUCAUCCCACGUUGUGAUUUUCUUUUACAGGAUUCGAGACCAAAGGUGCUCGGAAGUAGUACUAGAUUGUUUACUUUUAUGAAUGUAAUUCGGAGUUAAACAAUGUAGUUUUGCUUGGGUUGCCACUUGAAGCUGGAAAAGUGUAAACCCUGGAUUUGUAUGUGUCUUGUAUGAAAUUGUUACUUGGAUUGUAAGGAUGUAUUUGAAUUGUAUGUUUUGUUUCUUGGGUUGUGUUCGGGAAGGUAUAUUAAGAAUCGACGUUGGCUAUUUUAAGGCACUGUUAUCUCUGAAGUUAAUGUGAUUCUAGAAACCGGCUUAUUUGGAGGGAAA
Molecule: long non-coding RNA, 4822 nt
Filed under: Coffea arabica (coffee)
Lineage: Eukaryota; Viridiplantae; Streptophyta; Magnoliopsida; Gentianales; Rubiaceae
Description: long non-coding RNA (CARA_LNC000043)
Source: RNAcentral